GAUGAAGAACGUAGCGAAAUGCGAUAAGUAGUGUGAAUUGCAGAAUUCCGUGAAUCAUCGAAUCUUUGAACGCACAUUGCGCCUUCUGGUAUUCCGGAAGGCAUGCCUGUUCGAGAGUCAUUAACAACCGUUUCGAUCCCUUUCUUUCAGAAAUUACAAAGAGGAAAAGGGUUUGGUUAUGGUGGAGGAGGGAAAGGGAGCGUUUAGCCUGUAAAAAAAGAGGCUGUGUUCCGCCUCCCCCCCAAAAUUGUACAGGCGGUCGUGUGCGCCCGCGCAUCGAGGUGUUGUAAAAGCUGCCACGGCACUUUUCACCUGUGCAGUGCGAGAUUGGCCAGCCGGUUUAAAAACCCCUCCAAACAAUCAAAGGUUGACCUCGGAUCAGGUAGGGAUACCCGCUGAACUUAAGCAUAUCAAUAAGCGGAGGA
Molecule: unclassified non-coding RNA, 425 nt
Filed under: soil metagenome
Description: partial contains 5.8S ribosomal RNA, internal transcribed spacer 2, and large subunit ribosomal RNA
Rfam family: 5.8S ribosomal RNA (bases 1-120)
Source: RNAcentral